This 270-nucleotide small RNA is filed under the name Arabidopsis thaliana (thale cress). Its description in RNAcentral is "ATSL030740". Lineage: Eukaryota; Viridiplantae; Streptophyta; Magnoliopsida; Brassicales; Brassicaceae. The record is from RNAcentral.
AAAAUUUGUCGGAAAAUUUAUUUUGGAAUAUUUUAAGAGAAAAAUAUUAAUAUUUCAUUGUGUUAACCUAAAACAAUUUUCAAAUAGGGGUACAAUGGUCAUUAAAAAUUGAAAGAGGGUAGAAAUGAAAAUGGCAAAUAGGAAAUGGUAGAAUGGAAAAAGAGUAGUGUGAAAAGGGCAUUCUCAGCAAUUAUUCUUCAUUAAAACCCUCCCUGAAAUCAUCUCUAGUAUUUUGAUGUCAUUUAAGUUUAGAUAAUCAUUUUGGAAAAU